RNAcentral lists this ribosomal RNA (1352 nucleotides) under uncultured bacterium. RNAcentral's name for it is "bacterial SSU rRNA". It matches the Rfam family "Bacterial small subunit ribosomal RNA", at positions 28 to 1381 of the family's 1533-position model. The record is from RNAcentral.
AUUGAACGCUGGCGGCAUGCCUUACACAUGCAAGUCGAACGGCAGCACGGAGCUUGCUCUGGUGGCGAGUGGCGAACGGGUGAGUAAUAUAUCGGAACGUACCCUGGAGUGGGGGAUAACGUAGCGAAAGUUACGCUAAUACCGCAUACGAUCUACGGAUGAAAGUGGGGGAUCGCAAGACCUCAUGCUCGUGGAGCGGCCGAUAUCUGAUUAGCUAGUUGGUAGGGUAAAAGCCUACCAAGGCAUCGAUCAGUAGCUGGUCUGAGAGGACGACCAGCCACACUGGAACUGAGACACGGUCCAGACUCCUACGGGAGGCAGCAGUGGGGAAUUUUGGACAAUGGGCGAAAGCCUGAUCCAGCAAUGCCGCGUGAGUGAAGAAGGCCUUCGGGUUGUAAAGCUCUUUUGUCAGGGAAGAAACGGUGAGGGCUAAUAUCCCUUGCUAAUGACGGUACCUGAAGAAUAAGCACCGGCUAACUACGUGCCAGCAGCCGCGGUAAUACGUAGGGUGCAAGCGUUAAUCGGAAUUACUGGGCGUAAAGCGUGCGCAGGCGGUUUUGUAAGUCUGAUGUGAAAUCCCCGGGCUCAACCUGGGAAUUGCAUUGGAGACUGCAAGGCUAGAAUCUGGCAGAGGGGGGUAGAAUUCCACGUGUAGCAGUGAAAUGCGUAGAUAUGUGGAGGAACACCGAUGGCGAAGGCAGCCCCCUGGGUCAAGAUUGACGCUCAUGCACGAAAGCGUGGGGAGCAAACAGGAUUAGAUACCCUGGUAGUCCACGCCCUAAACGAUGUCUACUAGUUGUCGGGUCUUAAUUGACUUGGUAACGCAGCUAACGCGUGAAGUAGACCGCCUGGGGAGUACGGUCGCAAGAUUAAAACUCAAAGGAAUUGACGGGGACCCGCACAAGCGGUGGAUGAUGUGGAUUAAUUCGAUGCAACGCGAAAAACCUUACCUACCCUUGACAUGGCUGGAAUCCCCGAGAGAUUGGGGAGUGCUCGAAAGAGAACCAGUACACAGGUGCUGCAUGGCUGUCGUCAGCUCGUGUCGUGAGAUGUUGGGUUAAGUCCCGCAACGAGCGCAACCCUUGUCAUUAGUUGCUACGAAAGGGCACUCUAAUGAGACUGCCGAUGACAAACCGGAGGAAGGUGGGGAUGACGUCAAGUCCUCAUGGCCCUUAUGGGUAGGGCUUCACACGUCAUACAAUGGUACAUACAGAGCGCCGCCAACCCGCGAGGGGGAGCUAAUCGCAGAAAGUGUAUCGUAGUCCGGAUUGUAGUCUGCAACUCGACUGCAUGAAGUUGGAAUCGCUAGUAAUCGCGGAUCAGCAUGUCGCGGUGAAUACGUUCCCGGGUCU